GAUGAACGCUGGCGGCGUGCCUAAUACAUGCAAGUCGAGCGAACAGACUCGAACCUUGCUUCUCUCAUGUUAGCGGCGGACGGGAGAGUAACACGUGGAUACCCUACCUAUCAUACUGGGAUAACUUCGGGACACCGGAGCUAAUACCGGAUAAUCUUUUUAACCGCAUUGUUCAAAAGUGAAAUACGGUCUUGCUGUCACUUAUAGCUGAAUCCGCGCUGCAUUAGGUAGUUGGUAAGGUAACGGCUUACCAAGGCAACGAUGCAUAGCCGACCUGAGAGGGGGAUCGGCCACACUGGAACUGAGACACGGUCCAGACUCCUACGGGAGGCAGCAGUAGGGCAUCUUGCGCAAAGGGCGAAAGCCUGACGGAGCAACGCAGCGUGAGUGAUGAAGGUCUUCGGAUCGUAAAACUCUGUUAUUAGGGAAGAACAUAUGUGUAAGUAACUGUGCACAUCGUGACGGUACCUAAUCAGAAAGCCACGGCUAACUACGUG
This 497-nucleotide ribosomal RNA is filed under the name uncultured bacterium. RNAcentral describes it as "partial 16S ribosomal RNA". It matches the Rfam family "Bacterial small subunit ribosomal RNA", at positions 28 to 507 of the family's 1533-position model. The record is from RNAcentral.